Molecule: transfer RNA, 77 nt
Filed under: Methanobrevibacter thaueri
Lineage: Archaea; Methanobacteriati; Methanobacteriota; Methanobacteria; Methanobacteriales; Methanobacteriaceae
Description: tRNA-Gly
Rfam family: tRNA
About the family: Transfer RNA (tRNA) molecules are approximately 80 nucleotides in length. Their secondary structure includes four short double-helical elements and three loops (D, anti-codon, and T loops). Further hydrogen bonds mediate the characteristic L-shaped molecular structure. tRNAs have two regions of fundamental functional importance: the anti-codon, which is responsible for specific mRNA codon recognition, and the 3' end, to which the tRNAs corresponding amino acid is attached (by aminoacyl-tRNA synthetases). tRNAs cope with the degeneracy of the genetic code in two manners: having more than one tRNA (with a specific anti-codon) for a particular amino acid; and 'wobble' base-pairing, i.e. permitting non-standard base-pairing at the 3rd anti-codon position.
Source: RNAcentral
UGCAGUCGUGGUAUAGUCUGGUUAUUACUUGGGCCUUCCAAGCCUACAACCCGGGUUCGAAUCCCGGCGACUGCAUC